ACAGGUGGCCGGGGGGGGGAGGGGCGGGCCCGAAUUCCUCCCGGGUCACAGCGGGCCCGGCCCAGCGCUCCCAGUUCCGACCAGUCCGGACCAGUUCGGACCAGUUCAGACCAGUUCAGCCCAGCGCUCCCAGUUCCGACCAGUCCGGACCAGUUCAGACCAGUUCAGUGUGCCCAGCGCUCCCAGUUCAGACCAGUCCGGACCAGUUCAGACCAGUUCAGUGUGCCCAGCGCUCCCAGUUCCGACCAGUUCGGACCAGUUCAGUGUGCCCAGCGCUCCCAGUUCGGACCAGUCCGGACCAGUUCAGUGUGCCCAGAGCUCCCAGUUCCGACCAGUCUGGACCAGUUCGGACCAGUUCAGACCAGUUCAACCCAGUGCUCCCAGUUCGGACCAGUUCGGACCAGUUCGGACCAGUCCAGACCAGUUCAGUGUUCCCAGUGCUCCCAGUUCAGACCAGUUCACACCAGUGCUCCCAGUUCGGACCAGUUCAGUGUUCCCAGUGCUCCCAGUCUGGACCAGUUCAGACCAGUUCAGACCAGUUCAGACCAGUUCAGCCCAGUGCUCCCAAUUUGGACCAGUUCGGACCAGUUCAGUGUUUCCAGCGCUCCCGGUUCGGACCAGUUCAGACCAGUCCGGACCAGUCCAGACCGGUUGAGACCAGUCCAGACCAGUUCAGUGCUCCCAGCGCUCCCAGUCCGGACCAGUCCAGACCAGUUCAGUGUUCCCAGCGCUCCCAGUCUGGACCAGUCUGGCCCAGUUCAGACCAGUCUAGACCAGUUCAGUGCUCCCAGUACAGCCCAGUCCGGACCAGUCCAGACCAGUCUGGCCCAGUUCAGUGAUCCCAGUGCUCCCAGUCUGGACCAGUUCAGACCAGUUCGGACCAGUCUGGCCCAGUUCAGUGUUCCCAGCGCUCCCAGUCUGGACCAGUUCAGACCAGUUCGGACCAGUCUGGCCCAGUUCAGUGUUCCCAGCGCUCCCAGUCUGGACCAGUCCAGACCAGUCUGGCCCAGUUCAGCCCAGUGCUCCCAGUUUGGACCAGUUCA
Molecule: long non-coding RNA, 1043 nt
Filed under: Cyanistes caeruleus (blue tit)
Lineage: Eukaryota; Metazoa; Chordata; Aves; Passeriformes; Paridae
Description: lncRNA (ENSCCEG00000001886.1)
Source: RNAcentral